AUGAACGCUGGCGGCGUGCCUAAUCCAUGCCAGUCGAGCGAACAGAUCAGGAGCUUGCUCCUUUGACGUUAGCGGCGGACGGGUGAGUUACACGUGGAUAACCUACCUAUAAGACUGGGAUAACUUCGGGAAACCGGAGCUAAUACCGGAUAACAUAUUGAACCGCAUGGUUCAAUAGUGAAAGGCGGCUUUGCUGUCACUUAUAGAUGGAUCCGCGCCGUAUUAGCUAGUUGGUAAGGUAACGGCUUACCAAGGCAACGAUACGUAGCCGACCUGAGAGGGUGAUCGGCCACACUGGAACUGAGACACGGUCCAGACUCCUACGGGAGGCAGCAGUAGGGAAUCUUCCGCAAUGGGCGAAAGCCUGACGGAGCAACGCCGCGUGAGUGAUGAAGGUCUUCGGAUCGUAAAACUCUGUUAUCAGGGAAAAACAAAUGUGUAAGUAACUGUGCACAUCUUGACGGUACCUGAUCAGAAAGCCACGGCUAACUACGUG
Molecule: ribosomal RNA, 496 nt
Filed under: uncultured bacterium
Lineage: Bacteria
Description: partial 16S ribosomal RNA
Rfam family: Bacterial small subunit ribosomal RNA
Source: RNAcentral